CCCAGUUGUUGCACCAUCAAACUCAUUACAUAGGCAGCAGGUUGUGGAUUCACUUAGUAGUCAUCCCACUGUUCGGCCAAUGUCACAUCAACAACAAUCUCAUGCAUUUUCAUCCCAAGAGGUUCACCUUUCAAAGAAAGAGAAGAAGAAUAAGAAGAAGAAGAAGAACUAACAAGGUAAAAGUACUAUGUAAGGUUAUUCUAUAUAUUACAGCGUAGAGUUUCAGUAAAACGAAAGAUAAUAUUUGUUUGAAGUGGAGGCAUUUUGUUAAGGAACUUGGCCGACCAACUGAACUCAAAAGCCACCAGAAAGCUACAAUGGGUAUUCCAAGUCCAUGUAGUGCCUUUUGAUACUAAUUUCUGUUUCAUUGUUCUGUGGCCCCUUUUCAUGAUCUGUAAAGCCAUCCGAUAUUUUGCUAAACUGAUUCGACUGCAGGUGAUUAUUGGUGGAGGUGGAGGUGUCGCUUUUGCUGCAGCUCCUGCAGGUGGAGGUGGAGCCCUAGCUGCUGAAGCACCUCCAGCUGAGGAGAAGAAGGAAGAGAAAGAGGAGAGUGAAGAUGAAGAUAUGGGUUUCUCACUUUUUGAUUAGUGAAUCAUCUAUAUACAAUGCUUUCUUAUUUACCAAGUUUUGAAUGUGUCGGCCAACUUUGAUAGGGGUUGAAUGUUGGCUUUUCAUCAGUCAAGUAUGAAUCUUGUGGUGGUCUUUAUGAUCUCUAGUAGACAACUCACAUUUUUGUGGUUUUUAAA
Camellia sinensis is the source of this 746-nucleotide non-coding RNA. NCBI's taxonomy places the organism in Eukaryota, Viridiplantae, Streptophyta, Magnoliopsida, Ericales, Theaceae. The record is from RefSeq and is a predicted model, not a curated record.